GCUGACGUAGCUCAGUUGGUAGAGCAGUUCACUCGUAAUGAACAGGUCACCGGUUCAAGUCCGGUCGUCAGCUCAA
Molecule: transfer RNA, 76 nt
Filed under: Ignavibacteriota bacterium
Lineage: Bacteria; Pseudomonadati; Ignavibacteriota
Also listed under: 3 other names
Description: Ignavibacteriae bacterium tRNA-Thr
Rfam family: tRNA
About the family: Transfer RNA (tRNA) molecules are approximately 80 nucleotides in length.
Source: RNAcentral